AGACCUUUAAGAUAGUUCAGACAAGAAGCAGAAACCAUAAGUACUAAAAUUAUUUUUAUUGUAAGAUUAGAGUAACAGAAUCUUGCAAGUCUGAAAGUACUUCCCUCUUUUACUUUUAUUAUCCAAAAAACUAGGGAGUGUUCCUUCUUAAACACAUCCCACUUCCCAUCUGUUUUUAUGGACUGACAUACUUUUUGCACGAUGCUGGGCUAGUCUCUGGCUUUUCCUCCUGCCUCCCAAGAUUUGAAAGGAAACUUCACUAUAAUUCCGGAAGAAAUUGAUCAAUCUUUCUCAACUAUAUUGUCUUCACUGGAGUUCUAAACAACAGCAGAAUGAGGAUCA
Molecule: long non-coding RNA, 342 nt
Organism: Pantherophis guttatus
Lineage: Eukaryota; Metazoa; Chordata; Lepidosauria; Squamata; Colubridae
Source: RefSeq, a predicted model, not a curated record